RNAcentral lists this unclassified non-coding RNA (265 nucleotides) under Glomus sp. RNAcentral describes it as "partial contains 5.8S ribosomal RNA and internal transcribed spacer 2". The stretch from base 1 to 65 matches the Rfam family "5.8S ribosomal RNA", at positions 84 to 154 of the family's 154-position model. The record is from RNAcentral. Lineage: Eukaryota; Fungi; Glomeromycota; Glomeromycetes; Glomerales; Glomeraceae.
GUGAAUCAUCGAAUUUUUGAACGCAAAUUGCACUCUCCUCGGAGAGUAUGCCUGUUUGAGGGUCAGACUAUAAAAAUCGACAUCUUUGCUGUUUCGCGGUGGCGUUCGUCGGAAAGUGAGUCAUCUUAAAUCCUUUGGAUUUAAGCGACUUAAAAUUAUCCUUUGAUUCCAUAAACGGUUCUAAGAUCUAUUUCUUUACACGUUGAAGUUAUCGAUUUUUACCAGACGUGACCAUCAUAUCAGAUAGAGUCAAUAAUCUUUCAUA